RNAcentral lists this ribosomal RNA (253 nucleotides) under uncultured bacterium. RNAcentral's name for it is "partial 16S ribosomal RNA". It matches the Rfam family "Bacterial small subunit ribosomal RNA", at positions 524 to 776 of the family's 1533-position model. The record is from RNAcentral.
UACGUAGGGUGCAAGCGUUGUCCGGAAUUAUUGGGCGUAAAGAGCUCGUAGGCGGUUUGUCGCGUCUGCUGUGAAAUCCCGAGGCUCAACCUCGGGUCUGCAGUGGGUACGGGCAGACUAGAGUGUGGUAGAGGAGAGUGGAAUUCCUGGUGUAGCGGUGAAAUGCGCAGAUAUCAGGAAGAACACCCGUGGCUAAGGCGGCUCUCUAGUACGGUACUGACGCUGAGACGCGAAAGCGUGGGGAGCGAACAGG